UUUAAGGCGGCAACAAUAUAAAGAGAUCGAUGCAUUCGAACAAAUAACAAAAGACAUUGUUGGCUUUUGGCCACCAUCAGUUUAAGGAAUUCAUUUGUUAAGUUCAAGGUUAUGUUAUGUUGUGUGUGUGUUUUAUUGAAAUAUAGUGUUUUUUGUGUAGAAUAUAGUGCAGAACAUUUGUUCACUACUUCAAAUCACUAUUUCAGAUUGCAGUGGCUAAACAGUGGACACGUAUUCUCAAUUUGCUCUUCCAAACUUUUCAAGCGCCUUAAAAAGUUUCUUCCAGUUCCAGCAUGAGAUACUUCCCUCUCUGAGAGUGCAAGACGGAGUGCUGGAGUGCGGAGGUUACCACCAUGUCUGGUGGGAAUUUGUGAUUUUCUCCAACAGCAUGAGGAUCCUGUGUUUUUUUUUUUUCAGUCUAAAAAUAAUUGUUCAAUAUAUGUAAUGAGAAGUAAAGGUUAGAAUUCUACAUGAAUGAAAGACUUAUUUGCAAUAAAUUAAA
Long non-coding RNA from Homalodisca vitripennis (glassy-winged sharpshooter), 502 nucleotides. RefSeq lists it as uncharacterized. NCBI's taxonomy places the organism in Eukaryota, Metazoa, Arthropoda, Insecta, Hemiptera, Cicadellidae. The record is from RefSeq and is a predicted model, not a curated record. The transcript is spliced from 3 exons.